GCCUCCGUAGCUCAGGGGUAGAGCGUUUGCAUGGUAAGCAAAAGGUCGCGAGUUCGAUUCUCGCCGGAGGCU
Molecule: transfer RNA, 72 nt
Filed under: Microcaldota archaeon
Lineage: Archaea; Nanobdellati; Microcaldota
Description: tRNA-Thr
Rfam family: tRNA
About the family: Transfer RNA (tRNA) molecules are approximately 80 nucleotides in length.
Source: RNAcentral